Molecule: non-coding RNA, 74 nt
Organism: Stegodyphus mimosarum
Lineage: Eukaryota; Metazoa; Arthropoda; Arachnida; Araneae; Eresidae
Source: Rfam
GCCUUCGUGGUGUAAUGCUCAAGCACACUCGACGCGUAUUCGAGAGGUCCGUGGUUCGAUUCCCGUCGAGAGCA